Molecule: transfer RNA, 72 nt
Filed under: Ovis aries (sheep)
Lineage: Eukaryota; Metazoa; Chordata; Mammalia; Artiodactyla; Bovidae
Rfam family: tRNA
About the family: Transfer RNA (tRNA) molecules are approximately 80 nucleotides in length.
Source: Rfam by way of RNAcentral
UCCCUGAUGGCUGAGAUGAUAAAGAAUCUGCCUGAAAUGCUGGAGACCUAGGUUCAAUCCCUGGGUUGGGAA